UUAUAAUUUAUAAUUUUUAUAAAAUAAAUUUUUAGUUAAUCCCUUCAUACAAGUUACCAAUUAAGUAGCUAAUGAUUUCGCUACCUUAGUGUUAUUAACAGCUAUUUAAAUAAUUUCAUUGAGCAGAAUAGAUUAUAAAAAUUAUAAAUAAGAUUUUGUUAAACAGUCUAAUAAUUUAAUGAAUAAAAUUUUUUUAUUUUUUAUUAUUAAAUUUUAUUAAAUAUAAAAAUUUUAUACUAUUUAUACUAAUUUUUUAAUUUAAUAUUUUUAUAAUACAAUAUAAUUGAAAAUAUAAAUGAUAUAAUUUUU
Molecule: ribosomal RNA, 309 nt
Filed under: Sarcoptes scabiei
Lineage: Eukaryota; Metazoa; Arthropoda; Arachnida; Sarcoptiformes; Sarcoptidae
Description: partial 16S ribosomal RNA
Source: RNAcentral